Molecule: ribosomal RNA, 678 nt
Filed under: Trichuris suis (pig whipworm)
Lineage: Eukaryota; Metazoa; Nematoda; Enoplea; Trichinellida; Trichuridae
Description: bacterial SSU rRNA
Rfam family: Eukaryotic small subunit ribosomal RNA
Source: RNAcentral
GUGACCGUAAACGAUGCCAACCAGCGAUUCGGCGACGUUCUUUUUAUGACUCGCUGAGCAGCUUCCGGGAAACCAAAGUGUUUCGGUUCCGGGGGAAGUAUGGUUGCAAAGCUGAAACUUAAAGGAAUUGACGGAAGGGCACCACCAGGAGUGGAGCAUGCGGCUUAAUUUGACUCAACACGGGAAAACUCACCCGUUCCGAACACUGUGAGGAUUGACAGAUCAAGAGCUCUUUCUUGAUUCAGUGGGUAGUGGUGCAUGGCCGUUCUUAGUUGGUGGAGCGAUUUGUCUGGCUAAUUCCGAUAACGAACGAGACUCUGGCCUACUAACUAGCGGCGGUAUUCACGUCUCUCGCGCGACGCCGUGCCUACGUGUCGGCUGAGCACAGUCGCCGUUCGCGCGAGCGCUCCGCGGAGCACCUGCAGUGCCGGCGGCCGCUUCUUAGAGGGACCAGCGACACUUUCGCAAGCCGCACGAGAAAGAGCAAUAACAGGUCUGUGAUGCCCUUAGAUGUACGGGGCUGCACGCGUGCUACACUGACGGCGUCAGCGUGCGUUCAAGCCCGGCCUGGCAAGGCCGGGAAAUCGGCUGAAACGUUCUCGUGACUGGGACAGGGAAUUGCAAUUAUUUCCCUCGAACGAGGAAUUCCCAGUAAGCGCGAGUCAUCAGCUUGCGUUG